Molecule: long non-coding RNA, 1239 nt
Organism: Cataglyphis hispanica
Lineage: Eukaryota; Metazoa; Arthropoda; Insecta; Hymenoptera; Formicidae
Exons: 2
Source: RefSeq, a predicted model, not a curated record
AUGAUUGCUGCACAAAUUGCGCAGCAAUAUUAAGGUCUGUUCUUUAUAGCCUAUUUAUAACUAAACUUGUUGCACUAGUUCAGAGUUAUCUUUUUCUCUCCACAUUUAAAUGAGGAAGCUCUAAACUAGUUUAACCAGUUCAGCUAUAAAGAACAAAUCUUUUUUUCUCUCCAUAGAAAAAGAAAGAUAAGCUCUGAACUAGUGCAGCCGUAAAUUCAGCUGUAAAAAACAGAUCUCUAGUCUUCCUAUAUGUUCUAUUUUAUUCUGUCUGAUUCUAUCAUCGUAUAAAAUAAUAGUUGUUUUUCAUUUGCACUCAAGUGAUACUGAGUCACUCAAUUAUGUUCAUAACCUUACUUUGGUAUGUCUAUGGAAUCCAUAGACUCACUACAGUACACGGUCUCGAUCGUGUGCAGAAAACUCAGUUUCUCAGCAUUAAAAGGAAAGUGCAUUCAACUGAGUUAUGAUAUCAUAAGUGAUAAUUACCUGAGUUUUGAUGUAAAUGGAAAGCAACUACUUCGAUAUCACUGAGCCGAAUCCGGAAGUCGUGCGCCUAUAUGCGCACAGCGCACCACAUACACUGAUGCCUCCACAUCCAUUUUACAGCCGGAAUUUGGAUCUACAAUCUAUUUACGAUGUUAUUAAAAUAUAUAUAAAUAAAUAAAAAUUAAUUAACCAAAAUGGCAACUUCCCUUUUACAUUUUAAUUAUCUUAUAUUAAUUAUCUUAACUCGUAACUGACACAAAUUUUUGUUUAGAUAUUCACAAUAAUCACAUUUGCGAUGCAUUUUUCUCAAUUGUGCAAUUUUAUCUUUCUUUGUAUUUUAUAUAUAUGCAAUAUAUAUAAGAAAUACAUAUCAGAUUACCGUACGUGAUAAUUUUUCUUUAAAAAAAUUUAUUUUUUUUUUUUUUUUUAAUAGAUUACAAUUUUAUUAAAUGUUUAUCCUUGUGAUUUAUUUACUUUUAAAACGACCAAUCACGUUCAAAUAACAAGGCAAUCGCGAUUAGCAGUCAAUUAAAUCAUUUCAUAUCAAUUUUAUAAAAGGAAUAAUUAUGUAACAGUUAAUAAUAAAAAUAUUAUAUAAUAAAUAUUAUAGUAUACAAAUUUUACAAAUUUUUAACAAUAAGAAUAGGUAACUUAUCAUUUCUCAUUAUCUAUUUAAAUUAUCUUUUUAAUAAUGUUUCUCGCAUGAUUAAAUCGUCUAAUUUUGAUAAAUAAAUCACGAUCCUUUAAUAAAAAAAA